RNAcentral lists this non-coding RNA (78 nucleotides) under Tepidiphilus thermophilus. Lineage: Bacteria; Pseudomonadati; Pseudomonadota; Hydrogenophilia; Hydrogenophilales; Hydrogenophilaceae. The record is from RNAcentral.
AAACGAUACGGCGCCGAUUUGAGCCUCAGCUUGCGGGCGCCUUACAAAUGCAGCUAAAGCGGGAGCGCCCGGCGCCCG